Molecule: ribosomal RNA, 420 nt
Filed under: bacterium
Lineage: Bacteria
Description: partial 16S ribosomal RNA
Rfam family: Bacterial small subunit ribosomal RNA
Source: RNAcentral
UGGGGGAUAUUGCACAAUGGGCGAAAGCCUGAUGCAGCGACGCCGCGUGGGGGAUGAAGGCUUUCGGGUUGUAAACCUCUUUCGCUAUCGAACAAGGCCCGCUUAGGGUGGGUUGAGGGUAGGUGGAGAAGAAGCGCCGGCUAACUACGUGCCAGCAGCCGCGGUAAUACGUAGGGCGCGAGCGUUGUCCGGAAUUAUUGGGCGUAAAGGGCUUGUAGGCGGCUUGUUGCGCCUGCUGUGAAAACGCGGGGCUUAACUUCGCGCGUGCAGUGGGUACGGGCAGGCUUGAGUGUGGUAGGGGUGACUGGAAUUCCAGGUGUAGCGGGGGAAUGCGCAGAUAUCUGGAGGAACACCGAUGGCGAAGGCAGGUCACUGGGCCAUUACUGACGCUGAGGAGCGAAAGCAUGGGUAGCGAACAGG